This is a long non-coding RNA of Monodelphis domestica (gray short-tailed opossum), 3818 nucleotides long. The record is from Ensembl. Lineage: Eukaryota; Metazoa; Chordata; Mammalia; Didelphimorphia; Didelphidae.
UACCUGGUGGCGUUUCUCUCCUCAACCUCUCUCGGCUUCCGACCUCUGCAGCACCCAUUGGCCAAUAGGCUGUCUGUCCGCGGAGUAUUGUCCAAUGAAUGGGCGCGCUGGGUCAGAGGCGGUGGCGAGGGCGGAGCGACGGCGCGAGCAGGGCGGAGAGGGAGAAGGAGGGGUGACGCAGCGGCGCGGUGACGCAGCGUGGCGGCGGCGACGACGGCAGCAGCGGCGGCGACGGCGUCGGUCGGUGUGAGGAGAGAGGGAGGGAAGGCGGAGAGAGCGAGGCGAGUGGGGGCGGCGGUGGCGCGGGCCGGAGGCGAUUCACUCAGCCCCUGCUUGAACAUAGCAUGGAAUGAGGAGCGCCUGGCCUGAUGAGACUUCUGAUUGUUACUUUGGUUGAGUGGAAACGUGCUUCCUUUUGAUCUCCAGUCACUGGGCUCUUAUCUGCCCUGUGGAACCAAGAGAAUCAGUUGGCUCCUAUUUGUGUGACAGGUCUUCAGGAGCUCACAGAAACCUCCCUGAUGUGAACAGGCCUCUGCCCCCGCUGCCCCUCCCGGGAUUUUCUAAGCACCCUGACCCACACUCACCCCCCUCUCUGGGGAGAGACAACAGGAUUCUGGAGCCGAGACCAUGUGACAGCAUUGCCCUUCCCCACCAUUCCCCCACCCCCGGCCUCUGCCGGUGCCAAGCCCAGGCCCUGGCCACGGCACCAUGAUGUUCCGAGACCAGGUUGGCAUCCUUGCUGGCUGGUUCAAGGGCUGGAAUGAGUGUGAGCAGACGGUGGCCUUGCUGUCACUGUUGAAGCGAGUCACCCGGACCCAGGCCCGAUUUCUGCAGCUUUGCCUGGAGCACUCCUUGGCAGACUGUAACGAUAUCCACCUUCUGGAGUCAGAGGCCAACAGUGCUGCCAUCAUUAACCAAUGGCAGCAAGAGUCCAAAGAGAAGGUCGUCUCCCUCUUGUUGUCCCAUCUACCCCUGCUCCAGCCUGGCAACACAGAGGCCAAGUCUGAGUAUAUGAAGCUGCUGCAGAAGGUGCUGGCCUACUCUAUAGAGAACAACGCCUUCAUUGAGGAGAGUCGGCAAUUGCUCUCCUAUGCCCUCAUUCACCCGGCCACCACAUUGGAGGACCGAAACUCACUAGCCCUCUGGCUCAGCCACUUAGAGGAACGGCUGGCUGGUGGCUUCCGGACCCGAGCUGAGACUGCCUACCACUCCCGCCAGGGCUCAGAUGAAUGGGGUGGCCCUGGGGAGGCUGGCCCUGGGGAGCUAGGGCCAGGCUGGCAGGACAAGCCACCACGAGAAAAUGGACAUGUGCCCUUUCACCCUUCUGGUGCAGUGCCAUCCACCAUCAACAGUAUUGGGAGCAAUGCUAAUGCAGGCCUCCCCUGCCCAAUGCACCCAAGCCCGCUGAAGCGUUCCAUGUCGCUCAUCCCCACGAGCCCGCAGGGCCCUGGUGAAUGGCUGAACCCAGAGGAAAUGGGGGCAAGAGCAGCCUUUGCCCCACCCGACCACGCGCCCCUCUCGCCCCAGAGCAGUGUGGCUUCCUCAGGCAGUGAGCAGACGGAGGAGCAGGGCUCCAGCCGGAACACUUUCCAGGAGGAUGGCAGUGGCAUGAAAGAUGUGCCAUUAUGGCUUAAGAGUCUUCGCUUACACAAAUACGCAGCCCUCUUCUCCCAGAUGAGCUAUGAGGAGAUGAUGACCCUGACUGAACAGCAUCUGGAAUCUCAGAACGUGACCAAAGGUGCCCGUCACAAGAUCGCCCUGAGCAUCCAGAAGCUUCGUGAGAGGCAGAGUGUCCUCAAGUCCCUGGAGAAGGAUGUGCUGGAAGGUGGGAACCUGAGGAAUGCUUUACAGGAGCUCCAGCAGAUCAUUGUCACACCCAUUAAGGCCUACAGCAUCCUUCAGGCAGCUGUGGUGGCUGCAGCCAAGGAGGGGGGCAGGGGGGAGCCGCCGCUGAGCGCUGAGCCCCCCCCAGCUCGCCCAGGCCCUGAGAAGGCCCCUGAGGCCAAGGAUGCCCCAGCAGAAAGCUAUCCCCCCCAGCCGGCCCCUGCCCCCAGUGAUGGUAGUGAGCCAGCCACAGCCCCUGUCGCCGAUGGAGACCUCCCUAGCCAGUUUACCCGUGUGAUGGGCAAAGUGUGCACCCAGCUGCUGGUGUCCCGGCCAGAUGAGGAAAACAUUACCAGUUACCUCCAGCUCAUCGAAAAGUGCCUGACACAUGAGGCUUUCACCGAGACACAGAAGAAGCGCUUGCUGUCCUGGAAGCAGCAAGUCCUGAAGCUGCUCCGAACGUUUCCCCGAAAAGCUGCCCUAGAAAUGCAGAGCUAUCGGCAGCAGCAGAAGGGCUGGGCUUUUGGCUCCAACUCUCUCCCCAUAGCUGGUUCUGUGGGGAUGGGAGUGACCCGGCGGGCCCAGAGGCAAUUCCAGAUGCCCCCUCGGGCCCUACCACCUAGCCGAAUGGGCAUCCUGAGCCCUGCGGGCAUUGGAGGCGUUUCACCUCGACAUGCCCUCACCAGCCCUAGUCUUGGGGGGCAAGGACGACAGAAUCUGUGGUUCGCCAACCCUGGAGGCAGUAACAGCAUGCCCAGCCAGAGCCGGAGCUCCGUGCAGCGCACUCACUCCCUCCCUGUGCAUUCCUCCCCCCAGGCUCUCCUCAUGUUCCCGCCAGAUUGCCAGGUCCCAGGCCCAGACCUGGAGAUCAACCCUACGCUGGAGUCUCUAUGCCUCAGCAUGACGGAGCACGCCUUGGGUGAUGGGACAGACAAAACUUCCACAAUCUGAUGUGACUGAGAGCCCAGCGGAUGUGUCGUCCCCCUGGGGUGGGGAGGGGAGUUACCUCCCUCUUCCCCCCCCUCUCUCUCCCUUCCCAGAGUUUCCGUACGAUUAAUUUCUUAGGCCUAUUUAAGACAUAUAUUUAUAUAGUUCUUAGCGGUUUCUCUGUCUCUCUCUUUCAAUCACUCCCUCCCUCCCUCUCAUUUUAAUCUCAUCAUUGGGUCUCUCUGAGCCAUGAUGUAUGGAGGGAGGGCAACAGGGGAGGCUGAGGGUCUGGGGGAUGGAACCAGGGGUGAGGGCAGCGCCUUCUCCCCCGUCCUCCCCCCCAAUCCCCCAGACUCCCCUUUACCCCCUGCCUAGCUCCUGGAGGCCCUGGGGGGAGGCAGGGCAGGGCAGAUAGGUGGGGGAGUGGCCAGUGGGGUCAGAAAGUCUGUUGCCUUAAUGCCCCCUCCCUUCACCCCCCCCUUCUAUACCCGCACCCUAACCAGGAGGCGAGAAACAGGGUGGGGGUAGGGAAUGGAAGGCUUCUCUUUUCAGUUUUUUCCUUUUCUUCUAGCCCUCUCCCUGCUCUGUCGUGACCUCACUAAAGUGGAACACUACAUCAUAGCCCAGAGUCCCAUCCCCCCCACCCCCUUGGGUGGAGGAGAGUGCCAGGGGCAGCGGGAGGGGAGAUGCCAGAGACUCCCACCCUCUCCCCCAGCCCCCCUUGGGUGGGCCUCUUCUUGGUACAGAAGCUUUUCCCACCCUGCCCCUUCCUACUGGGACUCUCUCAAGCUUUUCACACAGAAAAGGAAAAAAAUGUUAUUUUUAGAUACAUUUUAUGAAUAACUUUUGUUAUGACUAUGGCUGGUAACCAUUACGUAUGUUAUUAAAGAAACAAAAUGUUGGAAAAAAAAAACCAAAAAACCCCCCCCAAGCCUCCUGGCCCCUCUCCCUUCUUCCCAACAGCCACCCAGUCUGGUGCCCCUGGCUCCACUCUCCCUCCUCAGCUCCUGGUCUAUUCCCCUUCCUGCCCCCUUUUUUGCCCAGGGAGGGAGGGGGCAGGGAAUCCC